GACGAACGCUGGCGGCGUGCUUAACACAUGCAAGUCGAACGGUGAAGCGCCUUCCUUUUUGGUGGGUGUGGAUGAGUGGCGAACGGGUGAGUAACACGUGAGUAACCUGCCCCCUUCUUCUGGAUAACCGCAUGAAAGUGUGGCUAAUACGGGAUAUUCUGGGUCUGUCGCAUGAUGGGUCUGGGAAAGAUAUUGUUUCGGUGGGGGAUGGGCUCGCGGCCUAUCAGCUUGUUGGUGGGGUGAUGGCCUACCAAGGCGGUGACGGGUAGCCGGCCUGAGAGGGUGGACGGUCACACUGGGACUGAGACACGGCCCAGACUCCUACGGGAGGCAGCAGUGGGGAAUAUUGCACAAUGGGCGCAAGCCUGAUGCAGCGACGCCGCGUGAGGGAUGGAGGCCUUCGGGUUGUGAAGCUCUUUCGCCAGUGAAGCAGGCCUGCCCCGUUUGUGGGUGGGUUGACGGUAGCUGGAUAAGAAGCGCCGGCUAACUACGUG
Molecule: ribosomal RNA, 494 nt
Filed under: uncultured bacterium
Lineage: Bacteria
Description: partial 16S ribosomal RNA
Rfam family: Bacterial small subunit ribosomal RNA
Source: RNAcentral